GGCGAACGCUGGCGGCGUGCUUAACACAUGCAAGUCGAACGGAAAGGCCUGCUUUCCCUUGUGGAUUGCGGGUACUCGAGUGGCGAACGGGUGAGUAACACGUGAGUGAUCUGCCCCCAACUUGGGUAUAAGCCUGGGAAACUGGGUCUAAUUCCCGAUAGGACUGCAGGGUGGUGCCUGUGGUGGAAAACGAUUUUCUAGUGGUUGGGGAUGAGCUCGCGGCCUAUCAGCUUGUUGGUGGGGUAAUGGCCUACCAAGGCGGCGACGGGUAGCCGGCCUGGGAGGGGGGACGGCGACAUUGGGACUGAGACACGGCCCAGACGCCGACGGGAGGCAGCAGUGGGGAAUAUUGCACAAUGGGCGGAAGCCUGAUGCAGCGACGCAGCGUGGGGGAUGACGGCAUUCGGGUUGUAAACUACUUUCGACCGAGAGGAAGCCACCUGGUUGGAAGGGUGGUGACGGUAGUGGUAGAAGAAGCACCGGCUAACUACGUG
This 494-nucleotide ribosomal RNA is filed under the name uncultured bacterium. RNAcentral's name for it is "partial 16S ribosomal RNA". It matches the Rfam family "Bacterial small subunit ribosomal RNA", at positions 28 to 507 of the family's 1533-position model. The record is from RNAcentral.